AACGUAGGAGGCGAGCGUUAUCCGGAUUUACUGGGUGUAAAGCGCGUGUAGGCGGUGGUGUAAGUGGGAGGUGAAAGCGCUCGGCUCAACCGGGCGAGGACCUUUCAGACUGCACGACUGGAGCGCGGGAGAGGCGGGUGGAAUUCCGGGUGGAGUGGUGAAAUGCGUAGAGAUCCGGAGGAACACCAGCGGCGAAGGCGACCCGCUAGCCCGUGGCAGACGCUCAGACGCGACAGCAUGGGGAGCGAACGGGAUUAGAAACCCCCGUAGUCC
RNAcentral lists this ribosomal RNA (273 nucleotides) under uncultured bacterium. RNAcentral describes it as "partial 16S ribosomal RNA". It matches the Rfam family "Bacterial small subunit ribosomal RNA", at positions 524 to 796 of the family's 1533-position model. The record is from RNAcentral.